Long non-coding RNA from Triticum aestivum (bread wheat), 3139 nucleotides. RefSeq lists it as uncharacterized. The record is from RefSeq and is a predicted model, not a curated record. The transcript is spliced from 12 exons. NCBI's taxonomy places the organism in Eukaryota, Viridiplantae, Streptophyta, Magnoliopsida, Poales, Poaceae.
CCUACACCCACGAGCCAAUCCCGCAGCCGCCUCCCCCGCUUCCUCCGCAAUCCCGCAGCCGCCUCCCCCGCAUCCUCCGCGCCUCUCCCUGUGCCACCCAUCUCCUCCCUGCUGUGCUGGCCAUCGCACCCUCGCCAUCGACGAUUCAUGCGGCCGACAGCGAGCGCCGGUGAGCGACCGGGAGGCCGCCACCUCUCCUGGCCUCCUCCCAGAGGUUCCCGAUCUGGAGCGGCGAGGCCAACCCCCUCUUCACACGCAGAGGGGCGACGGGGUGGAUCGGGUGGCGGUGAUGUCAGAGCUCGAGGCAGAGAUGGCGGAGCUCGGGCUGGAGCGCUCACGGGAUGACGGAUUCAAGGGCUGGAGCGCUCACGGGAUGGAGGUGCUCAGGCUAGAGGCAGGGGAGGACGCCCUACGGGCGAGCUGGAGGUGGAGGCAGGGAUGGGAAGAGGCCUGGAGUUGCUCAGCAUCGGUUCUGUCAACCUGCAAGGUGGUUUGCUCGACCACUCACCGUCGGUUCUGUCAAUAUGCAAGGUGAUUUGCUCGAUCCCUCGCUGUUGGUUCUGUCAAACUGCAAGGUUCUUCGUUCAGCUGGAUUGUAGGUUGGCUCCAGUCCUUGACCAGUUCUUCUGCAAGGAAAGUUUCAGUGCUCAGCAUAUUGCAGUCAUUGCAGCAGCGAGUUUUAUGAACCACCUCAAUGGAGGGGACAUAGUCAAUGACAAUCUCCUCCCAUUUAAUUAGAUGGUUUGCCAGUUUCUUCCUGUAGAUAGUAUCACAAUGAUGCGAUUCAGAUGUUUAUAAUUCUUUUCUAACAUUACAUGUUCUUGUAGUCAUUCAUUUUGAAACCACGGAGGCCGUCGCAUUAUGCAUUGGUUAGACUAGGUAAUUUCUGUUAAGGCUAUAAUUUUUCUAUCAAUAUGCCAAGAUCGACUGUUCGCCUCACCUUUAUUCUGCAAAUGCCAAAAUGUCCAGAACAUAAAUUUCAAGCUUUUAGACCUUACAUAUGUUAUGAACUUAUGAAGUUAUGAUAUAUGUCUAAAUUCAGCUGGAUCUUUAAUUAAAUCCUGAAUUAUAGAUGUUUUAUCCUUUUCUACAUCUGAGUAUACACUAAUUAGUUAAACCUUUUCUUCUCCGGAUCUGCAUUCCACUUGUACUAAUUGCCAGAUUAUAUAUGUGUUUGUGUUCAUUCUUAAUUAAAAUUAGACCUAGCUGUAUAUACUACAAAAUUUGUUAAACUUGCGCUGGGCAGGUUUCCAUGAUGAGUUCGUAGCCUUUACGAAGUUGCUGCAGCUUGUUUUCUGUAAUCAUUGCUCAAAAAAAUUGAUUCUUGCAUCUAACCCUGAUCCUGAUGGUGCAGCUCACUGUUUUUUCUCUUGCCAUCAUCUCCAAUAGUGUCGAGUCCCCUUCCUGGCGCCAAUUGCAACACAUAUCUCCUUUGACUGAUUAGCCAUUGUUUCCUACAGCCGGUUUAGUUUUGUCUCGAACAUCCGUUUUCUUUGAGAUUUGUUUUUGUCGUGUGCUGAUUAUUUAGACAUCCUCGCUGCCACCACAACCUAUCCAAGCAAGCAACAGAUCGAGGAGGACGGAGGCGCGGCACGACGACGACCGUGGCAUGGAUCAAGAGCAUGCUCAUGGGCUCAUGGCCUGGGAGCGAAUCGGGCAUCCUGGAUCAUGACGGAAGCUGGAAGCCGCGGGGGCUGCCCGAAGAAGAGGGCGACGAAUCGGGGGUGGAAGAGGGUGUGUCUGUGGUUAUCGCCUUCCAAGACGACGCGACUUGAUGAUUUAGAUUCGCCUUCCGAGACGAUGCGACGCGGCAAUUCAGAUUUCUCUCCUUCCUCGCCUCAACGACAUGCUCUGCUUCUCUAGCUUGUAGGGGUAUGAGGAGAGAGCUCUAUUGUUUGCAGCGGCUGCAUCAUUUCGACAAGUGAUAUGAUUGAUCUUUGCUAUGUGGACCAAUGGCAUGAUCUGUACCUAAGGUUGGAGAUGCUGAAUUCGAACACGUGAGAAAUCACUGAUGCGCAUGGCUGGCAGCUUUCGCACGAAGAAGUAAAAUUGGCAGGACCAAUUAGGAUGCAUACCUGAAGGAGUGAAUCUACUGGUUCAGCUGAAAAUUGAUCUCUAUUUGGUUUCUGAUUUUGCGUUUGGUUUUGCCGUCCGCUCGUCCUUGGUAUGCUCAUCCAUCUUGGCUGCUCUGCUUGCCUGCUUCUCCUCUCUAACUCAGGUUCUGCGAUCUCUUGUGUUGCUGCAUCGCGAUCUUCUGCUUUGUUGCAUCUCUGUUAUGUCAUCGAGGUUUGCUUGCUUUCUGUCUAGCUAAAAUGCAUAUUUCCUUUUCUGUACCUGUUGUCAUGGUGUUUAAAUUGCUGAUCAUUUUAAUUUUCUGGAUCCGGCACGCCAUCGUGUAUUGUUCGUCCUCAUCCUGCUUAUAUGUCAUGCUUGUGUGUGAGCAGAAUGUGUCCGCUUAUUUCAGUCGUUAUACAUGUUUUGGAGGUCGUGGUGGCGGCGUAGUGCGGUGUGCUUUAUGACGCUUUCGAAUCUGUGUGAGGUUGCAGAGGACAUGUCUGUACUUGCUGGGGUAGAAUUCAAAUUGUGAGGGACGGUUGUGCUCAGAUUUGGUCGCUGCUGGUCGGUUCUUGACUUCAGCGCAUGAAAACCUGCAACUGCUAUCAAGCGAACCACAGGAGGGAGCAGCAGGCAUAGAAGAAAUCGCAAGCCAAUUUUGCUCAGCUGUAGCAUCUUCCACUGACAAUAAGUCUGCACAGCAGCCCGGUGAGGCUAAUGUUCUUGCUCAGUAUAAGCCAACAAUGGAGAAACUGACCAAGCUAUCUUUCAUGAUCAGUUACACACCAAGCCUAUAUUUUUGCUGCUUCUACAUGUUGCUAUGAUGGCCAUUCAGCCCAUUUUCUUGAACCUGCACUACAACGAGAGAUCUGGGCAGCUUCUUUGUGGCUUCCAAACUUGAAAUGUUUGUUUGGAAGUUAGUGUAGUUUUUUGUUGCGGAUUCACAGCUUCUCACAUGUACCGUCCUCUUAGAUCUUCAGAUUUCCAAAGAAACUAAAUGAAGAUAUAGUGGUAUGGUCUCAAUAGUACAACUUAAAGCCCUCCAUGCCUUAUAUUUCCUCUGAAAUUUGCUCUUGAAGAAUCA